Molecule: long non-coding RNA, 1874 nt
Organism: Macaca mulatta (Rhesus monkey)
Lineage: Eukaryota; Metazoa; Chordata; Mammalia; Primates; Cercopithecidae
Source: Ensembl
GGACUACAGGCAUCCGCCACCACGCCCGCCCAGAGCCGGGUUCAAGCAUUUCUCAGAAAUUUCCAGCGCACGUUCCCCAUCUGAAGGCUCACACCUGCGGGAGCAGAACACACUCCACACGGGUGCCUCCAGCACACGGAACUUGCGCUCCCGGAAGCUUACGACAUGGUCAUUGUUGAAGUGUUCCCCUCGAAGUAGCUGGGCGUGGUGGCGCGCUCGUGGAGUCCCAGCUACUCGAGAGGCUGAGGUAGGAGCAUCGCUUGAACCCAGGAGGAGGGAGUUGCAGUGAGACGAGAUCGCGCCACUGCACUCCAGCCUGGAUAACAAAGCGAGACUCCGUCUCAAAAAAAAAAAAAAAAAAAAAAAUCCUUAAGGACAGCCCAGAGGCUGGCGACACCUUCACGGGCCCCUCCAUGGAUGCGCCUCUGAGGUCACCGCUCCGGAAGGUCCCAGACUGGCGUGGAAACCUAUUACUAAGUGGGGCGCGUGGACACCGGCAGGUCCCGCUCUAAAGGAGUCCCGCGGAUGCUUGGGCCUCAGUUCCUCUUUCCUGCCCAAGUAUUCCCCCCGCUCUGACGAAACAGGCAACUUCCAGACUGUGGCGUUAGCUCAGCGACUGCGCUGAGCCCCGGGAAAGAACCUGGUCCCGACGGCCAGCUGACCCAGGUUAGUUGCGGAGAUGCUGACUACCCCGCUUCGCUGGCUGCUGCGAGGUCACAUGAGGCCCUCGGUGUGACGUGAGGUCCUCGGGCGCAGCAGGGAGCGUGGCAGCCAACUCUUUCUGCGCGUGCGCGAGCGCGAGCAUCUGCUGUCGUUUAGGCAGAACGGUCGCAAAUCGCACCCUCAGUACUGGCCCGCUUUGCUCUUCUACCUUGCCCUCCUAGUCCGGAUCCAAGAUCCCAAGUAAUCGUCCUACCCCUGCACCGGGGCCGGGACCAGGCAGCCAAGAGCGGCGGAGACAGACUGCUGGGACCGCGACAUCUCCUCUCCUGUUCGCUGCCAUAUGCCCGCGUCGUGUUGAGCGGCCUGCGGACACUGACAGCCUGCCCGGUCCGCUGAGUGUUUGAUCCCCAUCCUCUCAACGCUCUGGAGUGGGCGGUGCAGCCAGUCUUCUUUCAUUCUUAUGAGGCAAGAGAGAGACCCUCUCAUAUUGUUUUAUACUCAGUACCUGUUUAAAAAACAAAACAAAACAAAACAAGGAAGUGAAACCAAAGACAGGCAGCCCGGCGCCAGGCCCCAAACCGGACCUGGACCUGCCUGGCCUAAACCUAGUAGUUAAAAAUCAACUCAUGACUUAAAAACCGAUGUUGUCCUUAGAUUCCCCGCGUCGUAUAAAAGAACAUUGUGGGCCAGGGGCGGUGGCUCACGCCUGUAAUCCCAGCACUUUGGGAGGCCAAGGCGAGCGGAUCACCUGAGGUCAGGAGUUCAAAACCAGCCUGACCAACAUGGAGAAACCCUGUCUUUACUAAAAAUACAAAAUUGGCCAGGCGUGGUGGCACAUGCCUAUAAUCCCAGCUACUAGGGAGGCUGAGGCAAGAGAAUCGCUUGAACCUGGGAGGCAGAGGUUUUGGUGAGCCGAGAUCAUGCCAUUGCACUUCACCCUGGGCAACAAGAGUGAAACUCCGUCUCAAAAAAAAAAAAAAAAAAAAAAGAACAUUGUGAAACUCCCUGCUCUGUUCUGUUUCUCUCUGACCACCGGUGCAUGCAGCCCCUGUCACAUACCCACUGCUUGCUCAAAUCAAUCACUACCUUUUCAUGUGAAAUCUUUAGUGUUGUGAGCCCUUAAAAGGGACAGAAAUUGUGCACUCAGGGAGCUCGGAUUUUAAGGCAGUAGCUUGCCGAUGCUCCCAGCUGAAUAAAGCCCUUCCUCCUAC